This is a long non-coding RNA of Magnolia sinica, 1370 nucleotides long. RefSeq lists it as uncharacterized. The transcript has 5 exons. NCBI's taxonomy places the organism in Eukaryota, Viridiplantae, Streptophyta, Magnoliopsida, Magnoliales, Magnoliaceae. The record is from RefSeq and is a predicted model, not a curated record.
UGUGACUAGCAAUCAAAGAUGAGCUUUCCUUGUUUACUGCACACAGUUCAUGAUCUCUGCAAAGCAAAGCAGAUGCAUUGAGGUUGGAAAGUCUCAAGCUCGUGCAACCCAGCUCCCUUGCAAGCCAACACAGGCCUGGAUGGAAGAUGCGCAAAAUCCAAGCUGUCCAUCAGGUGGGUCCCCACUUCUUGAUGCCAUAGCCCAAAAAUCAGGCGAGUCCACUCCAUGGAAGGAUCACCAAAAGGGCCCCACACCCUAGGAAUUCUGUGCAGCAAGACCCAUUUUUGAGUCCUGUUCUAAGCACAUUAUAUAUAUGGCUUCACAAACUGUUGUAUCUCAGACUAAAGCAUCUGAUGCCUUGAAGUGGACAGCAAGGACAUGGAUCCUACAUAGUGGGCCAAGAUUAUCAUCUAAAUAGCAGCGUUUAUGUUGCCCGUGUCUUCUGCAUUAUAAGUUUUGAUUAUAUGUUUGUUUUUCAGUGACAAAGGUAAAUGAGAAGACUUGAUUUGUUCAUGUUUUGAUUUCAAAACAUUGUUACUUUGUGAUUGUGGACAGGGAAUUAAUAACUGUAUUCAAGGAGAAAUCCAGUGGAAGUUUGUUCUGUUUUAUGGUUCUUAUUCUGGCUUCCUCAUUUAUGAAUAGCGUGAGAUAUUUGGAUGAUGUUUUCAAACUGUAGAAUGAGAAUGUUUAGAUUUUUUUUGGUUACCAAUCUUCAGUGCUUCAAUAUAACAAAAGAGUUCCCAUAAUGUUUGACUUGAGCAACUAUUUAGAGUGUAGGCUCGGGUGUCCGCAAUGCUCACAUGGAUGCAUGAACAAAGCUGCUCAUCAAAGUGCAACCACAAUAUGGCUUUCCUUGUGUGGAAUUCAGGGAACUCAUCAAGGAGGAAGUAUGUUUGGAUUUGCUCGCAGUCAAUCCAUUCUUUGAAACCCAUGUCAGACGAGAAUAGACAUUGACCGGCAGAUUAGAAGCUUGUUUCUGUAGGGUUUUUGGCGCAUCUUCCAUCUAUGGCAGAGCUUAUCAAAUUGAAGUUUGUAUCUCACAAUUGCUGGCCCUACUUGUAAGUUGUAACGUGCAUCACGACACUUCAACCCAAUGCACUAGGAACUUAUGUUUUCUACAUGAUUAGUUUUAGGGGUCAUUUGGAUGCCUGUAACUGUAAGUUUUAUCAGCUGUAAAGGGUCUACAGGUGUUUGGAUAAGAAAUUUCACUGUCAGUUACAAUAUAUAGCAUGAGCUCACUUUUCAGGUGGAACUUGUUUGCAACUUCGAAAGUUAUAGGCAUCCAAACGGCCACUUGAAAUAACUAUAUGCUUCGACUACUAUAUAUAGAUUCAAGCAAACAAAUUAUAGCAUUUGACUUUCAGGUUUUA